This 257-nucleotide ribosomal RNA is filed under the name uncultured bacterium. RNAcentral's name for it is "partial 16S ribosomal RNA". It matches the Rfam family "Bacterial small subunit ribosomal RNA", at positions 334 to 605 of the family's 1533-position model. The record is from RNAcentral.
UUUGCCUACGGGACGCAGCAGUGGGGAAUAUUGGGCAAUGGGCGCAAGCCUGACCCAGCAACGCCGCGUGAAGGAAGAAGGCUUUCGGGUUGUAAACUUCUUUUCUUGGGGACGAAGAAAGUGACGGUACCCAAGGAAUAAGCCACGGCUAACUACGUGCCAGCAGCCGCGGUAAUACGUAGGUGGCAAGCGUUAUCCGGAUUUAUUGGGUGUAAAGGGCGUGUAGGCGGGAUUGCAAGUCAGAUGUGAAAACCACG